This 236-nucleotide ribosomal RNA is filed under the name uncultured Fusobacteriaceae bacterium. Its description in RNAcentral is "partial 16S ribosomal RNA". It matches the Rfam family "Bacterial small subunit ribosomal RNA", at positions 99 to 334 of the family's 1533-position model. Lineage: Bacteria; Fusobacteriati; Fusobacteriota; Fusobacteriia; Fusobacteriales; Fusobacteriaceae. The record is from RNAcentral.
CGGACGGGUGAGUAACGCGUAAAGAACUUGCCUCACAGUUAGGGACAACAUUUGGAAACGAAUGCUAAUACCUGAUAUUAUGAUUUUAGGGCAUCCUAAGAUUAUGAAAGUUAUAUGCGCUGUGAGAGAGCUUUGCGUCCCAUUAGCUAGUUGGAGAGGUAACGGCUCACCAAGGCGAUGAUGGGUAGCCGGCCUGAGAGGGUGAACGGCCACAAGGGGACUGAGACACGGCCCUU